This 377-nucleotide unclassified non-coding RNA is filed under the name soil metagenome. RNAcentral describes it as "partial contains 5.8S ribosomal RNA, internal transcribed spacer 2, and large subunit ribosomal RNA". The stretch from base 1 to 120 matches the Rfam family "5.8S ribosomal RNA", at positions 35 to 154 of the family's 154-position model. The record is from RNAcentral.
GAUGAAGAACGUAGCGAAAUGCGAUAAGUAAUGUGAAUUGCAGAAUUCAGUGAAUCAUCGAAUCUUUGAACGCAUCUUGCGCUCCUUGGUAUUCUGAGGAGCAUGCCUGUUUGAGUGUCAUUAAAUUCUCAACUACACUGACUUUGAAUUGGUGUGGCUUGGAUUUGGGGGGAAAAUUGUUGUGGGCUUUUUGUAUAGUCUGCUCCCCUGAAAUUGAUUAGCGGUACCUUUGUGGAACUGUCUACAGGUGUGAUAAUUAUCUACAUCUUAGACAUCUGCUGGAAUGCUGCUUUCUAAACCUUACUUGUAUUGACAAUCUUGACCUCAAAUCAGGUAGGACUACCCGCUGAACUUAAGCAUAUCAAUGAGCGGGAGGA